UAUUCCAAUAUCUUUUACUAAAUGUGUCCUCAUUUGGCUUCUUUAUGCAUAUGCCUCUGCCUGCCUUUAAAAUACCGUAGAGCAUCCCAUGCUAUUCAUUUUUUAUAUAUUCCUUGGUUGCUAUGACAGUGCUCCCUGUCAGCAACGCCACCCAUGUAUGUAUCUUUCCCUUUUACCGUGUAAUCCACCACACUCUCUGUUUGCUGGGCGUCUCUUUGAGAUGGCAGGCACCUCCCUUUUUUCCUCCCUCUGACCUUCGCUUUGUCUCCCCGCUCUGUCUGGGUGAUCAGCUGUUCUGAGGGGCGUAUCACACGCCGGGAACUAUCUUGCUGACGUCACACGCCGGGAACCUGGCGUGUGAUCAGCUGCUCGGAGGGACGCGUCACACACGGGGAUCCCUCGGCGGCGUCACACGCCGGGAACCACCGCGGUGACGUCACACGCCGGGAACUACCAUGUUCCGAACCCGCCCACGUGCAUGCCUACACGGCGCUUCAUGCACCUGGCACUAACCAGAGGCAGAGGGCGUUGUGUUUUCUCAUGUCCCUCCUCCAUCACUGGACAGUUUUUGUCCCUCCCCUAUUAUCGGACAGCUAUUUAUUCUCACUAGCAGCUAUACCACUACAGCGCUGACUGCCGAUCGUACAACUACACUAUCCCCUUAGUCACGGUAAGACUGCUACCAUUCCCUUGGCUGUCUUGUUCUAGCUCUUAUCAUACCUACUUUGGGCUCUUACCUCUCAGGCUCUGCCCCUUAAUUAUUUUAAUCAUCAUGCUUUCUCCCUAGAUUUGGAUUGUCUAUACCAUUACAUCUUUGAUUUCGUGAACCCUUGGGAUCACCCUUGGCUUACCCCUUGUCCCAUUCAUAGGUAUGCAGUAAUCUCUGUUCUCUUAAUACUAGCCACCUUCAUUGGUUUCUUUCAUAAGUCUUCACAACCAUUUAUUUCCCAGUUAUACCUACAUAUUUCUCCUUUAAUUUUCCCAGGAGUUCUACCUAUACUAACAAUUCCUACUGGGAUAGCUCGUGUUUUUCUGCAGAAGCUUUUUCAAUACCUCUAUACUCCAAUUUGGAUCUCCCCGUAUUUGAGUGUUUGUUUAAGCUUCAAACACUAGGACUACACCUGUUGCCCUCUGGCUGCUUUCCUGCUCUACUUUAAGCAUUUAAGUCUCACAGGUAUAUAUCCCCGUUCUUUUCUCAUUACCUCUUAUAUACUUGACAAUUUUCUACCUUGACCUCAGUGUAUCACACUAUAUUCACUUUUUCCUUUACUCCAUAGGAGCCUUGUGGCUUUGUUCCACAUCCCCUCCUGUUUGCUCAGGGUUUGUCUUCAGGAGUUCUGGGACACGAUCCUGUGUCCCCUUGGUUGGCUCCCUAUCCACCUUAGGGAUUUGGUGCCUCGGUGCUCUUCGGUCCGGUUUGGUCUACACAAGUGGUGAUGGGUACGUGUUUAAAUGUAACGUGUAGAUUUUAAUUUUUGCCCUCUCUUCUGAUAUAUGCACACAUGUCAACUUGCUUUACGAUACAAUUGUUAAUUUACCUUACCAUAUUUUUUUACUGUAUACAGUAUAAUUGUCGCAUGGACACCGGCCCCUGAAGAAGGGACUGAAGUCUUGAAACGCGUAGGGCCUGAACCUAUCCCUGCGGACAUACGCACCACUCAGUGACGUAAUUUGUUUUUAUAAUAAUGUGUUGCUUAUCAUAAUUUUUGUUUUGUAUUCUUUCAUAAUAAAUUUUACUAUACCUUA
Molecule: long non-coding RNA, 1746 nt
Organism: Rana temporaria (common frog)
Lineage: Eukaryota; Metazoa; Chordata; Amphibia; Anura; Ranidae
Exons: 2
Source: RefSeq, a predicted model, not a curated record